GUGGGGAAUCUUCCGCAAUGGACGAAAGUCUGACGGAGCGACGCCGCGUGAGUGAAGAAGGCCUUCGGGUCGUAAAGCUCUGUCAUCAGGGACGAACGGCCGGUGGAGUGGAAAGCCACCGGAUUGACGGUACCUGAGAAGGAAGCCACGGCUAACUACGUGCCAGCAGCCGCGGUAAUACGUAGGUGGCAAGCGUUGUCCGGAAUUAUUGGGCGUAAAGCGCGCGCAGGUGGGAUCUUAAGUCCAUUUUGAAAGUUCGGAGCUCAACUCCGUGAUGGGAUGGAAACUGGGAUUCUUGAGUACCGGAGAGGAAAGCGGAAUUCCCCGUGUAGCGGUGAAAUGCGUAGAUAUGGGGAGGAACACCAGUGGCGAAGGCGGCCUGCUGGACGACAACUGACGCUGAGGAGCGAAAGCGUGGGGAGCAAACAGGAUUAGAUACCCCGGUAGUCC
Molecule: ribosomal RNA, 450 nt
Filed under: uncultured bacterium
Lineage: Bacteria
Description: partial 16S ribosomal RNA
Rfam family: Bacterial small subunit ribosomal RNA
Source: RNAcentral